AUUCAGAGCACACCUGGAAUCCAUUUGGGCACACCACUGUGAGACAGCCCAAGGUCGGGAAGCUCUGCCUUAGAGAAUUCUGCCUGGUCCUAGGUGAGUACCCCAUGGCCCAGAGUGGGGUAUGACGCACCCCAGGUCACAUGCUAAGUUCAUGACAGAGCUGAGACCGGAACCUAACUCUUUUGGCUCCUGGCACCACAACCAUGUAGGUCCUUCAUUUCUUGUCCUUAUUUUUCCCUCCCUGCUUCCUUCCUCCCAUUGACUCAUUCACCACAAAUCCCUCACAUGCCUAGCUGACUAGCCAAAGACAUUGGCUUAUGCAGCACCUCCCACAGGGAGGGCAGUGUUUCUUGGACUUUGGCGUUCAUGAGUACAGAACUUUAAAAAUAGGCGUAUUUUGCUGCUGUGUCUUUGGGAAGAAAGUUGACGCAGGAAGAGAGAAGAGUGAAAGUUUACAGUAGGACGCAUGAGGCAGUAUUUCCCUUAUACUCCAUCUUAUUUCUUGGGCUGAGUCUUAUGCUGAACACUUGAUCUUGGUGACCCGUAAGGAGACCCAAAGGCUACAAAUACAUGCAAGUUCAAAAUAACAGGUUAUUUUAUCCGAUACAGAAUGGAAAUAAUUUCAGAUGUUUGAAGGGGUAUGCAGCGGUUUCCAAAUUCCUGUGUGCAUGAGAAUCUCCUCGGAAGCCCGUUUAACUUAUCUGGGCAAGCAAUUCUAAAUCAGCUGAUUUGGCCGGGAGCCCAAGGGUCUGCAUUUUAACAAGCACUCUGGGAUUAUCUGAUUGAGAAAUGCUGAAACGAGUGAGAGCUCAGAGCUCGAAUAUGCUAUAUAAUGGGGAUACUGCAAAAGGGGGUAGUGUUACAUCUGUUUUCCAGUUUGGGAAGCUGCAAUUCUGCGUUAUUAGGGGAACUACCUGAGUUCUGAAAGACAGCAAGGGGCAGAGCUGGGAUUCAGACCCGGUCAGUCUGAUGCCCGGGCCACUGUGCUUCGCAUCAGAGCAGCCACGCCCAGCCCCUCCCAGGGCAGCAUCGCGCAUGGAUAACAACACCUAUGCCCGCCGGAUCCACAUACACCUGAGGAGUCCUCAGCAUUAUCCCCAUGGCCACUAAUCACCUUUCAGAGCUGGCAGGCCCAGUAUCUGGCACAUAGAAGGCAGACAAUAAACAAAUAAAUACAGACCAAUGUCUUCAAAUUUCCAACUGUGACAGGAGACUCCUGACUUGCCACCUUCCUUUGUGCUUGAGCAUUUGAAGCAUCAACCAUAAUAAAGGUACAGAGGACUGUCAGGAAAUAAUGCACUUGUGAAAUGAGGCACCACCAGUCAGAUGGCGCUCCCCCAGUCACACGCACGCGCACGCCGCUCUCCUGCUGGGCUGCCCCGUCUCCACCUGAAGCCAGCGGACAGAUGAUUAAAUUCACACGUUCCACUUCGGCAGCCCAGGGUUUCCCAAGUUCAGAUCCUGGGCACGGACAUGGCACUGCUGGCCAGGCCAUGCUGAGCUGGCAUCCCACACAGCACAACCAGAAGGCCCUACAACUGGAAUAUACAACCAUGUACUGGAGGGCUUUAGGGAGAAGAAGAGGAAAAGGCAGGUUGGUAGCAAAUGUUAGCUCAGGGCCAAUCUUUAGAGGAAAAAAACCAGCUUAUCCCUCAGAAAAACCUAAUAUGAUGUAUUGGUCUUAAGUAUUCUUUUCCCUGUAGUAUGGAUCUGUGUUUAUGUGCUUAUUUGUUUUAUGUAUUUAUUAUACAGUUGAUAAUAAGUUUAAACCUUAAUGUAUUAGAAUAU
Equus caballus (horse) is the source of this 1788-nucleotide long non-coding RNA. NCBI's taxonomy places the organism in Eukaryota, Metazoa, Chordata, Mammalia, Perissodactyla, Equidae. The record is from Ensembl.